GAUGAAGAACGCAGCGAAAUGCGAUAAGUAAUGUGAAUUGCAGAAUUCAGUGAAUCAUCGAAUCUUUGAACGCACAUUGCGCCCGUCAGUAUUCUGGCGGGCAUGCCUGUUCGAGCGACAUUACGCCCCUCAAGUCCCCUGUGGACUUGGUGUUGGGGAUCGGCGAGGCUGGUUUUCCAGCACAGCCGUCCCUUAAAUUAAUUGGCGGUCUCGCCGUGGCCCUCCUCUGCGCAGUAGUAAAACACUCGCAACAGGAGCCCGGCGCGGUCCACUGCCGUAAAACCCCCCAACUUUUUAUAGUUGACCUCGAAUCAGGUAGGACUACCCGCUGAACUUAAGCAUAUCAAUAAGCGGAGGA
Molecule: unclassified non-coding RNA, 358 nt
Filed under: soil metagenome
Description: partial contains 5.8S ribosomal RNA, internal transcribed spacer 2, and large subunit ribosomal RNA
Rfam family: 5.8S ribosomal RNA (bases 1-120)
Source: RNAcentral